UGGGGAAUAUUGGACAAUGGGCGCAAGCCUGAUCCAGCCAUGCCGCGUGAGUGAUGAAGGCCUUAGGGUUGUAAAGCUCUUUCACCGGUGAAGAUAAUGACGGUAACCGGAGAAGAAGCCCCGGCUAACUUCGUGCCAGCAGCCGCGGUAAUACGAAGGGGGCUAGCGUUGUUCGGAAUUACUGGGCGUAAAGCGCACGUAGGCGGACAUUUAAGUCAGGGGUGAAAUCCCGGGGGCUCAACCUCGGAACUGCCUUUGAUACUGGGUGUCUUGAGUAUGGAAGAGGUAAGUGGAAUUGCGAGUGUAGAGGUGAAAUUCGUAGAUAUUCGCAGGAACACCAGUGGCGAAGGCGGCUUACUGGUCCAUUACUGACGCUGAGGUGCGAAAGCGUGGGGAGCAAACAGGAUUAGAUACCCCUGGUAGUCCACGCCGUAAACGAUGAGUGCUAGCCGUCGGGCAGUUUUACUGUUCGGUGGCGCAGCUAACGCAUUAAGCACUCCGCCUGGGGAGUACGGUCGCAAGAUUAAAACUCAAAUG
RNAcentral lists this ribosomal RNA (537 nucleotides) under uncultured bacterium. Its description in RNAcentral is "partial 16S ribosomal RNA". It matches the Rfam family "Bacterial small subunit ribosomal RNA", at positions 355 to 907 of the family's 1533-position model. The record is from RNAcentral.